Molecule: ribosomal RNA, 253 nt
Filed under: uncultured bacterium
Lineage: Bacteria
Description: partial 16S ribosomal RNA
Rfam family: Bacterial small subunit ribosomal RNA
Source: RNAcentral
UACGUAGGUGGCAAGCGUUGUCCGGAAUUAUUGGGCGUAAAGCGCGCGCAGGUGGUUUCUUAAGUCUGAUGUGAGAGCCCACGGCUCAACCGUGGAGGGUCAUUGGAAACUGGGGAACUUGAGUGCAGGAGAGAAGAGUGGAAUUCCACGUGUAGCGGUGAAAUGCGUAGAGAUGUGGAGGAACACCAGUGGCGAAGGCGACUCUUUGGCCUGUAACUGACACUGAGGCGCGAAAGCGUGGGGAGCAAACAGG